RNAcentral lists this ribosomal RNA (480 nucleotides) under uncultured bacterium. RNAcentral describes it as "bacterial SSU rRNA". It matches the Rfam family "Bacterial small subunit ribosomal RNA", at positions 28 to 526 of the family's 1533-position model. The record is from RNAcentral.
GACGAACGCUGGCGGCGUGCUUAACACAUGCAAGUCGAACGGAAAGGCCCUUCGGGGUACUCGAGUGGCGAACGGGUGAGUAACACGUGGGUGAUCUGCCUCGUACUUUGGGAUAAGCCUGGGAAACUGGGUCUAAUACCGAAUAUGACCUUCCCUCGCAUGGGGGUUGGUGGAAACUUUUUGGGUACGAGAUGGGCCCGCGGCCUAUCAGCUUGUUGGUGGGGUAAUGGCCUACCAAGGCGACGACGGGUAGCCGGCCUGAGAGGGCGACCGGCCACACUGGGACUGAGACACGGCCCAGACUCCUACGGGAGGCAGCAGUGGGGAAUAUUGCACAAUGGGCGCAAGCCUGAUGCAGCGACGCCGCGUGAGGGAUGACGGCCUUCGGGUUGUAAACCUCUUUCACCAGGGACGAAGAGAAAUUGACGGUACCUGGAGAAGAAGCACCGGCCAACUACGUGCCAGCCGCCGCCGUAACAC